Small nucleolar RNA from Andrographis paniculata, 99 nucleotides. RefSeq annotates it as small nucleolar RNA Z161/Z228. The record is from RefSeq and is a predicted model, not a curated record. The transcript has a single exon. Lineage: Eukaryota; Viridiplantae; Streptophyta; Magnoliopsida; Lamiales; Acanthaceae.
CGACAGAGGAUGAUUUUGGAUUAGCAAUCUCACGACGGUCGUCUGAGGCGCGCAUUUGUGCCGGCUUUGAUGUUAUACUGAUCCGAUUUUCUGAUGUCU